GAUGAAGAACGUAGCGAAAUGCGAUACUUGGUGUGAAUUGCAGAAUCCCGUGAACCAUCGAGUCUUUGAACGCAAGUUGCGCCCGAAGCCAUUAGGCCGAGGGCACGCCUGCCUGGGCGUCACACGUCGUUGCCCCCCCAUCUACUCCUUCGGGAUUGCGGGGGGCGGAUGAUGGCCUCCCGUGCGCCUCGUCGCGCGGUUGGCAUAAAUGCCAAGUCCUCGGCGACACACGCCACGACAAUCGGUGGUUGCGAAACCUCGUUUGCCCGUCGUGUGCGGUCGUCGCGCAUCGAGGGCUCGAAAAAAUUGCCGGGCUCCGGCUCGGCUUUCAACGCGACCCCAGGUCAGGCGGGGUUACCCGCUGAAUUUAAGCAUAUCAAUAAGCGGAGGA
RNAcentral lists this unclassified non-coding RNA (391 nucleotides) under soil metagenome. RNAcentral describes it as "partial contains 5.8S ribosomal RNA, internal transcribed spacer 2, and large subunit ribosomal RNA". The stretch from base 1 to 122 matches the Rfam family "5.8S ribosomal RNA", at positions 35 to 154 of the family's 154-position model. The record is from RNAcentral.